Saccostrea cuccullata (small rock oyster) is the source of this 556-nucleotide long non-coding RNA. RefSeq lists it as uncharacterized. The record is from RefSeq and is a predicted model, not a curated record. The transcript has 3 exons. Lineage: Eukaryota; Metazoa; Mollusca; Bivalvia; Ostreida; Ostreidae.
UUUUAAUUAAUCACCAUGACUCCUUUCACAUUUUUCGGCCAGGUAAAAAAACCACAGGUGUGUUGAUGAGAAACGGAUUGUACCUGCAAGAAGAAGGGGGGACGCGAAAACUUGAAAUAUGAUCUCCGAGAAUUAAUUCAUGACAGAUAUUGGAUGGACAGUAAGAAAUAUAGUCAACCGAAUAUAGAUGCAUCUUCUACAAGUGGGGAUCCUUUUUCUAUUAGAGGUUCAUAAUGGAAUGUGUCCAGUAGAUUCUGACCGCUGGUCUAACAAUGGACAUUUAUCAUGCCAACUCUUGACAAGAAACGGACGAGCGAGCGCACCUUGCUCUCUGCUUCAGGCGUUUGAAACCAGUCAUAAAAUAUUCUAGGUACAAGACAACUUUUGAUAAUUGUAUUUGGUAUUUCUAGCGUUAAAAAAUCUGAACAAUUGAAAAGAUGGACAGAAUUAUACAGGCCUAAGAUAUAUAUAAUUGUGGCUGAUAUUUCGAAGGUUACUAGUUUGACAUCUUUUAUUAAAUAUUUAUUUCAUUUUUCAAAUAAACUUUAAAAUUUUA